Sapajus apella (tufted capuchin) is the source of this 481-nucleotide long non-coding RNA. RefSeq lists it as uncharacterized. The record is from RefSeq and is a predicted model, not a curated record. The transcript has 3 exons. Lineage: Eukaryota; Metazoa; Chordata; Mammalia; Primates; Cebidae.
CUUUAUUCUCACUGGUUUCGAAGAACAUCUUUAUUUCUGCCUUCAUUUCAUUAUUUACCCAAAAGUCAUUAGGAGCAGGUUACUUAAUUUCCAUGUAAUUGUAUGAUAUUGAGUGACCUUCUUAGUAUUUCUAUUUUUAUUGUGCUGUGGUCUGAGAGUGUGCUUGGUAUGAUUUUGAUUUUAUUGAAUUGAUAAGAAUUGCUUUAUGGCUGAGUGUAUGGUCAAUUUUAGAUUAUGUAUGUGCAGGUGAUUAGACUGUAUAUUCUGUUGUCAUUGGGCAGAAUGUUGUUUAGAUGUCUGCUAGGUCCAUUUGGUCAAGUGUUCAGUUUAGGUCCUGAAUACCUUUGUUAAUAUUCUGCAUUGAUGAUAUGUCUAAUACUGUCAAUGGGGUGUAGAAAUCUCCCACUAUUAUUAUGUGGGAGUCUAAGGCUCUUUGUAAGUCUCUAAGAACUUGCUUUAUGAGUCUGGGUGUUCCUGUAUU